CGGCGUUGUUGUUGCAUUAUUGAAUAGACCCGCUCACCGGCAGUGUGCCUUUUAAUCCGGAAAAUACUUUACUGUUAUUUUUAUUUAAACUCCUACCUGUCAUUGCGUAACCUGUCAGUCUUCCGUAGUUUCCUGUAGCUCCUCCCUUUCCGGCUUGCGAUGUUCAGGAAGCAGAGUGGCACAAAGACUCAUGGCGAAGGAGUUUGUGAUUUUUACUUCAUUUUCAGAAUGCAACCUCCUGUAAAGAAGUCCAUUGUGUGAUGGCUGUCUGCAAACCCAUCACAAGUACAGACACAUUCAUUAUGUUAGUUUGCCCUCUGCUGGAGGCUUAAAAUACAAAGUGAUUAGUCAGAAUGUUCUUUGGCUACCCAAAUGCUGCACGCAGGUGUCCUUAAUUCAGCAAGGUUUUCGUUUACAGUUUUGUAGCAGUGUUUACCAGAGCCUCUCGUCCUUUUAGACCGACAAAAACUUGUCAUCCGGGGGCCUGAACGUGUGCAAGUCUGUUGGCUGUUGAGCUAUUUUACAGGAUUUGUUGCAAUCAUAAGCUGCUGCUGCUGCCUCUGCUUGAUGUGUUGCUGUGGAAAUGUUGUUCACAUUGAAAUGUUCCCCAAGUGGAUACAUUCCCCCCCAUCAUGUAAAUGUGCACUUGGUGGAAACUAGGCUGUGGAUGUGUGCGUUUACUGA
Molecule: long non-coding RNA, 684 nt
Organism: Nerophis lumbriciformis (worm pipefish)
Lineage: Eukaryota; Metazoa; Chordata; Actinopteri; Syngnathiformes; Syngnathidae
Source: RefSeq, a predicted model, not a curated record